AUGACAAACCCUGGGGGGGCACAGCAGCUUGGCUGGGGGGGCAAUGCCCUCCAAUGCCCCCCCGUGGCGCCCGCCCUACCGUGGACUAGCUACUUCGGAGGAGGCACAAAACUAACACUGAGUAACGCCCGUCCCCAAUCCCCCCCUGAGCUGGUGGUGCUGGCCCCCUCCCAGGCCCUCUCCUCUGGGGACAGGCCUACUGUGGUGUGCCUGGCUCAGGGCUUCUACCCUGAUGGUGCCACCCUGAGCUGGUCAGAGGAUGGUAAAGAAGUGGCAGCCACUGGCUUCCAGACGGGCCCGUCUCAGCGCCAGUCUGAUGGCACCUUCUCCCUCAGCAGCGUCCUGACGGUGCAGCUGCAACGCUGGCACUCUGGCCGUUCCUACAGCUGCCAGCUGCAGUACUCUGCCCUCUCCAGGCCUCUGAGCAAGGCUGUGGACAAUGCUCACUGCAGCUAGACAGGCUACAGUGGACAACACUCACUGCAGCUAGACAGGCUACAGUGGACAACGCUCGCUACAGCUAAAUGGGGACGGUGGCUUAACCCUUUACAGCCGGAUAAGGAAAGUAGACAAUGCCCCAGUCCUAACUUUUCUUAUCUGCAUGCAUUUUUUUCAGGUUUUUCUCUUCUGAAAACAAAUGUUUCUUUACUAUAUUUUCCUUUGCAUAUUGAUAAUGUUUUUUUUAUAAUUCUAGAGCGCUGUUGAUACUUUGUUUUGGUAUCACCAUCAGUUACAUUAUACAUUCCAUGUUCUUCCCUUUUCUUCCCUUCCCUGUUUUUCAAUAAA
Non-coding RNA from Engraulis encrasicolus (European anchovy), 786 nucleotides. The record is from the annotation of a RefSeq genome assembly. NCBI's taxonomy places the organism in Eukaryota, Metazoa, Chordata, Actinopteri, Clupeiformes, Engraulidae.